Molecule: ribosomal RNA, 946 nt
Filed under: uncultured bacterium
Lineage: Bacteria
Description: bacterial SSU rRNA
Rfam family: Bacterial small subunit ribosomal RNA
Source: RNAcentral
CAGCUGUGGUAAUACGUAGGGUGCAAGCGUUAAUCGGAAUUACUGGGCGUAAAGCGUGUGUAGGCGGUUCGGAAAGAAAGAUGUGAAAUCCCAGGGCUCAACCUUGGAACUGCAUUUUUAACUGCCGAGCUAGAGUAUGUCAGAGGGGGGUAGAAUUCCACGUGUAGCAGUGAAAUGCGUAGAUAUGUGGAGGAAUACCGAUGGCGAAGGCAGCCCCCUGGGAUAAUACUGACGCUCAGACACGAAAGCGUGGGGAGCAAACAGGAUUAGAUACCCUGGUAGUCCACGCCCUAAACGAUGUCAACUAGCUGUUGGGGCCGUUAGGCCUUUAGUAGCGCAGCUAACGCGUGAAGUUGACCGCCUGGGGAGUACGGUCGCAAGAUUAAAACUCAAAGGAAUUGACGGGGACCCGCACAAGCGGUGGAUGAUGUGGAUUAAUUCGAUGCAACGCGAAAAACCUUACCUACCCUUGACAUGUCUGGAAUGCCGAAGAGAUUUGGCAGUGCUCGCAAGAGAACCGGAACACAGGUGCUGCAUGGCUGUCGUCAGCUCGUGUCGUGAGAUGUUGGGUUAAGUCCCGCAACGAGCGCAACCCUUGUCAUUAGUUGCUACGCAAGAGCACUCUAAUGAGACUGCCGGUGACAAACCGGAGGAAGGUGGGGAUGACGUCAAGUCCUCAUGGCCCUUAUGGGUAGGGCUUCACACGUCAUAACAAUGGUCGGGACAGAGGGUCGCCAACCCGCGAGGGGGGAGCCAAUCUCAGAAACCCGAUCGUAGUCCGGAUCGCAGUCUGCAACUCGACUGCGUGAAGUCGGAAUCGCUAGUAAUCGCGGAUCAGAAUGUCGCGGUGAAUACGUUCCCGGGUCUUGUACACACCGCCCGUCACACCAUGGGAGUGGGUUUCACCAGAAGUAGGUAGCCUAACCGUAAGGAGGGCGCUUACCAC